GAUGUGGUUCAGUUGGCAGAGUGCCUGCCUAGCACUCAGGAAGCCCUGGGUUCGACCCCCAGCUUC
This 66-nucleotide transfer RNA is filed under the name Cricetulus griseus (Chinese hamster). It matches the Rfam family "tRNA". From Rfam's summary of the family: Transfer RNA (tRNA) molecules are approximately 80 nucleotides in length. Lineage: Eukaryota; Metazoa; Chordata; Mammalia; Rodentia; Cricetidae. The record is from Rfam by way of RNAcentral.